Molecule: transfer RNA, 76 nt
Filed under: Oscillospiraceae bacterium
Lineage: Bacteria; Bacillati; Bacillota; Clostridia; Eubacteriales; Oscillospiraceae
Also listed under: 1 other name
Description: tRNA-Val
Rfam family: tRNA
About the family: Transfer RNA (tRNA) molecules are approximately 80 nucleotides in length. Their secondary structure includes four short double-helical elements and three loops (D, anti-codon, and T loops).
Source: RNAcentral
GGACAGUUAGCUCAGCUGGUAGAGCUUCCGCUUGACGUGCGGAAGGUCAGGGGUUCGAGUCCCUUACUGUCCACCA